RNAcentral lists this ribosomal RNA (431 nucleotides) under uncultured bacterium. Its description in RNAcentral is "partial 16S ribosomal RNA". It matches the Rfam family "Bacterial small subunit ribosomal RNA", at positions 28 to 507 of the family's 1533-position model. The record is from RNAcentral.
AACGAACGCUGGCGGCAGGCUUAACACAUGCAAGUCGAGCGCCCCGCAAGGGGAGCGGCAGACGGGUGAGUAACGCGUGGGAACGUACCUUUUGGUUCGGAACAACUCCGGGAAACUGGAGCUAAUACCGGAUAAGCCCUAACGGGGAAAGAUUUAGCGCCGAAAGAUCGGCCCGCGUCUGAUUAGCCAGUUGGUGAGGGAACGGCUCACCAAGGCGACGAGCAGUAGCUGGUCUGAGAGGAUGAUCAGCCACACUGGGACUGAGACACGGCCCCGCCUCCUCCCGGCGGCACCGGUGGGGGCUCUUGGCCCGUGGGCGCGCGCCUGCUCCAGCCAUGCCGCGUGAGUGAUGAAGGCCUUCGGGUUGUCCCGCUCUUUUGUCCGGGCUGCUCCUGCCUGUCCCGGCCGCCUCCGCCCCGGCUCCCUUCGUG